GAUGAACGCUGGCGGCGUGCCUAAUACAUGCCAGUCGAGCGAACAGACGAGGAGCUUGCGCCUCUGACGUUAGCGGCGGACGGGUGAGUAACACGUGGAUAGCCUACUUAUAAUACUGGGAGAACUUCGGGAAACCGGAUCUAAUACCAGCGAAUAUAUUGAACCGGUGAGUGCAAUAGAUAAUGAGGGCUUGGGCGUCAGUAAUAGAUGAUUCCGGGCCGCAUUAGCUAGUUGGUAAGGUAACGGCUAACCAAGGCGACGAUGCGUAGCCGACCUGAGAGGGUGAUCGGCCACACUGGAACUGAGACACGGUCCAGACUCCUACGGGAGGCAGCAGUAGGGAAUCUUCCGCAAUGGGCGAAAGCCUGACGCAGCAACGCCGCGUGAGUGAUGAAGGUCUUCGGAUCGUAAAGCUCUGUUAUUAGGGAAGAAAAAAUGUGUAAGUAACUAUGCCCGUCUUGACGGUACCUAAUCAGAAAGCCACGGCUAACUUCGUG
This 497-nucleotide ribosomal RNA is filed under the name uncultured bacterium. RNAcentral describes it as "partial 16S ribosomal RNA". It matches the Rfam family "Bacterial small subunit ribosomal RNA", at positions 28 to 507 of the family's 1533-position model. The record is from RNAcentral.